This 525-nucleotide ribosomal RNA is filed under the name Pyrophorus sp. UPOL 001423. RNAcentral describes it as "partial 16S ribosomal RNA". It matches the Rfam family "Bacterial large subunit ribosomal RNA", at positions 1816 to 2610 of the family's 2925-position model. The record is from RNAcentral. Lineage: Eukaryota; Metazoa; Arthropoda; Insecta; Coleoptera; Elateridae.
CAUGUCCUUUUGAUUAUUAUUUAAGGUCUGAUCUGCUCAAUGAGGAGUUAAAUUGCCGCGGUAUUUUGACCGUGCGAAGGUAGCAUAAUAAUUAGUUUUUUUAUUGGAAGCUGGAAUGAAUGAUUGGACGAGGGAGCAGCUGUCUUCUGUUGGAUUUUUUUUUGAAUUUAACUUUUGAGUUAAAAGGCUCAGAUGAUAUUAAAAGACGAGAAGACCCUAUAGAGUUUGACAUUCUUUUAUAUGAUAGGUUUUUGGUAUUUGAAAUUUUCAUUUAUUUGUGAUGUUUGGUUGGGGUGACUGGAAGAUUUAAUAAACUCUUCUAAUUUAUUGUUACUGAUUGGUAAACGGGGAAUCUGAGUUUUUCAAGGUUAAUUAAAAUUACCUUAGGGAUAACAGCGUAAUUUCUUUUUAGAGUUCUUAUUGGAAGAGAAGUUUGCGACCUCGAUGUUGGAUUAAAAUUUAUGUUUGGCGCAGUAGCUUUACUAUUAGGUCUGUUCGACCUUUGAAAUUUUACAUGAUCUGAGU